CUGAGUCGCCACCAGACGAGCUGAUGGCAACUGGAGACGAACCUCCUCAGAUGACCUUAAUGUGCGGUGGGGAUCACGCAGAAGAAGGCGCUCUCUAAGUAAACAGACAGGCACAGCCAGGAGGGAACACGCAUAGCAUGUGGAGGACGCACGCAAGACAACAACACUCCGCAAUUGGAGCAGCAAGGCUUUGCAUGUUGUUGUUGCCCCCUCCUCGCCCACACAGCUUUGAAGAGUAACGGAUGAUGAUGGCAGAUAAGAAGAGAAUGGCAGCACGCACGUGUCUCUGGACAUUUCUUUUCCUGUCUGACUCUGUGGCAUGAGAUCGCCGCAUCUAUGUAUGGGCAAGCACAAUCUUCAAAUAAAAUGCUGUCAAUCAA
Long non-coding RNA from Hemicordylus capensis (graceful crag lizard), 380 nucleotides. RefSeq lists it as uncharacterized. The transcript is spliced from 2 exons. The record is from RefSeq and is a predicted model, not a curated record. Lineage: Eukaryota; Metazoa; Chordata; Lepidosauria; Squamata; Cordylidae.